RNAcentral lists this transfer RNA (83 nucleotides) under bacterium. Its description in RNAcentral is "tRNA-Leu". It matches the Rfam family "tRNA". Rfam says of the family: Transfer RNA (tRNA) molecules are approximately 80 nucleotides in length. Their secondary structure includes four short double-helical elements and three loops (D, anti-codon, and T loops). Further hydrogen bonds mediate the characteristic L-shaped molecular structure. tRNAs have two regions of fundamental functional importance: the anti-codon, which is responsible for specific mRNA codon recognition, and the 3' end, to which the tRNAs corresponding amino acid is attached (by aminoacyl-tRNA synthetases). tRNAs cope with the degeneracy of the genetic code in two manners: having more than one tRNA (with a specific anti-codon) for a particular amino acid; and 'wobble' base-pairing, i.e. permitting non-standard base-pairing at the 3rd anti-codon position. The record is from RNAcentral.
GGGCGAGUGUCGGAAUGGUAGACGACCACGACUCAAAAUCGUGUGGCCGCAAGGCCGUGGAGGUUCGAGUCCUCUCUCGCCCA